This 497-nucleotide ribosomal RNA is filed under the name uncultured bacterium. Its description in RNAcentral is "partial 16S ribosomal RNA". It matches the Rfam family "Bacterial small subunit ribosomal RNA", at positions 28 to 507 of the family's 1533-position model. The record is from RNAcentral.
GAUGAACGCUGGCGGCGUGCCUAAUACAUGCGAGUCGAGCGAACAGACGAGGAGCUUGCUCCUCUGACGUUAGCGGCGGACGGGUGAGUAACACGUGGAUAACCUACCUAUAAGACUGGGAUAACUUCGGGAAACCGGAGCUAAUACCGGAUAAUAUAUUGAACCGCAUGGUUCAAUAGUGAAAGACGGUUUUGCUGUCACUUAUAGAUGGAUCCGCGCUGCAUUAGCUAGUUGGUAAGGUAACGGCUUACCAAGGCAACGAUGCGUAGCCGACCUGAGAGGGUGAUCGGCCACACUGGAACUGAGACACGGUCCAGACUCCUACGGGAGGCAGCAGUAGGGAAUCUUCCGCAAUGGGCGAAAGCUUGACGGAGCAACGCCGCGUGAGUGAUGAAGGUCUUCGGAUCGUAAAACUCUGUUAUUAGGGAAGAACAAAUGUGUAAGUAACUGUGCACGUCUUGACGGUACCUAAUCAGAAAGCCACGGCUAACUACGUG